GAACGGGUGAGUAACACGUGGGCAAUCUGCCCUUCACUCUGGGACAAGCCCUGGAAACGGGGUCUAAUACCGGAUACGAGCCUCCAAGGCAUCUUGGAGGUUGGAAAGCUCCGGCGGUGAAGGAUGAGCCCGCGGCCUAUCAGCUUGUUGGUGAGGUAAUGGCUCACCAAGGCGACGACGGGUAGCCGGCCUGAGAGGGCGACCGGCCACACUGGGACUGAGACACGGCCCAGACUCCUACGGGAGGCAGCAGUGGGGAAUAUUGCACAAUGGGCGAAAGCCUGAUGCAGCGACGCCGCGUGAGGGAUGACGGCCUUCGGGUUGUAAACCUCUUUCAGCAGGGAAGAAGCGCAAGUGACGGUACCUGCAGAAGAAGCGCCGGCUAACUACGUGCCAGCAGCCGCGGUAAUACGUAGGGCGCAAGCGUUGUCCGGAAUUAUUGGGCGUAAAGAGCUCGUAGGCGGCUUGUCACGUCGAUUGUGAAAGCCCGAGGCUUAACCUCGGGUCUGCAGUCGAUACGGGCUAGCUAGAGUGUGGUAGGGGAGAUCGGAAUUCCUGGUGUAGCGGUGAAAUGCGCAGAUAUCAGGAGGAACACCGGUGGCGAAGGCGGAUCUCUGGGCCAUUACUGACGCUGAGGAGCGAAAGCGUGGGGAGCGAACAGGAUUAGAUACCCUGGUAGUCCACGCCGUAAACGGUGGGAACUAGGUGUUGGCGACAUUCCACGUCGUCGGUGCCGCAGCUAACGCAUUAAGUUCCCCGCCUGGGGGAGUACGGCCGCAAGGCUAAAACUCAAAGGAAUUGACGGGGCGCCCGCACAAGCGGCGG
This 825-nucleotide ribosomal RNA is filed under the name Actinomycetales bacterium TLI034. RNAcentral's name for it is "bacterial SSU rRNA". It matches the Rfam family "Bacterial small subunit ribosomal RNA", at positions 100 to 935 of the family's 1533-position model. Lineage: Bacteria; Bacillati; Actinomycetota; Actinomycetes; Actinomycetales. The record is from RNAcentral.